This 73-nucleotide transfer RNA is filed under the name Ailuropoda melanoleuca (giant panda). It matches the Rfam family "tRNA". From Rfam's summary of the family: Transfer RNA (tRNA) molecules are approximately 80 nucleotides in length. Their secondary structure includes four short double-helical elements and three loops (D, anti-codon, and T loops). The record is from Rfam by way of RNAcentral. Lineage: Eukaryota; Metazoa; Chordata; Mammalia; Carnivora; Ursidae.
GCCUAGCUAGCUCAGUUGGUAGAGCAUGUGACUCUUGAUCUUGGGGUGGUAAGUUCGAGCCCUAUGUUGGACA